AGAGUUUGAUCCUGGCUCAGAACGAACGUUGGCGGCAUGGAUCAGGCAUGCAAGUCGAACGAAUCCCCAUCUGGGCAACUGGGUGGGGGAAGUGGCGAGAGGGGCAGUAAGGCGUGGGUAACUUGCCCCGGGGUUUGGAAUAGCCAUUCUAACGGAUGGGUAAUACCGAAUGCCCUGUCUGGUUGGCAUCAACUGGACAGGAAAGAUUUAUCGCCCCGGGAGAGGCUCACGUAGUAUCAGCUAGUUGGUGGGGUAACGGCCCACCAAGGCCAAGAUGCUUAGCAGGUGUGAGAGCACGACCUGCGCCACUGGCACCGAGACACUGGCCAGACUCCUACGGGAGGCUGCAGUCGAGGAUCUUCGGCAAUGGGCGCAAGCCUGACCGAGCGAUGCCGCGUGUGCGAUGAAGGCCUUCGGGUUGUAAAGCACUGUCGAGGGGGAGAAAAGGGCAACCUUGAUCGACCCCUGGAGGAAGCACGGGCUAAGUUCGUGCCAGCAGCCGCGGUAAGACGAACCGUGCGAACGUUGUUCGGAAUCACUGGGCUUAAAGGGCGCGUAGGCGGGCAGUCAAGUCAGAGGUGAAAGCCCACGGCUCAACCGUGGAAGUGCCCCUGAUACUGGCUGUCU
This 627-nucleotide ribosomal RNA is filed under the name uncultured bacterium. RNAcentral's name for it is "bacterial SSU rRNA". It matches the Rfam family "Bacterial small subunit ribosomal RNA", at positions 8 to 642 of the family's 1533-position model. The record is from RNAcentral.